Molecule: long non-coding RNA, 573 nt
Filed under: Capsicum annuum
Lineage: Eukaryota; Viridiplantae; Streptophyta; Magnoliopsida; Solanales; Solanaceae
Description: long non-coding RNA (CANN_LNC015640)
Source: RNAcentral
UGGUGAUAUACUUGGAAGAAGAUCCUGUGCAAACCCUAAUUAAAAAGAAGUCAAAGCUGCACUUGGAAUGACAUCAAGAGAAGAUCUCAAAAGAUCUCAUUAGAUCUUAGAUUGCAUCGAAGAUAAUGAUCAAAUUGCAGAGCAACAUUGAAAGAAGAUCACACCCUCUUCAUGGACAUAUCUGACAUCAACAUAAAUGGUUGUGAAGAAAGGCAAGCCGCAUUUUAUGUACAAACAUAUUUGAUAUGGACAUAUUACUCUCUAUCAAGGAAUCAAAUUAACUUCUUGAUUAAGAAGAAAUACCUUGGAUAUUCAUUCUAUGCAAGAUAGAAGGAUCAUCUGAAGAAUAUAAAAGGAGAAGACUAAAAAUGAUAGACAUUACACAACUUCCCAAGAAAUUCAGUGUCUCUCAUUCUUAGUCGCCAUUAAGCUUUGUGUCUUUAAAGUUUAAAAUAGUUGCAAAAGAAAAAGGUUUAGUCAAAUUAGUCAUACCAGUUGAGGCUAGAUCAUAAGAUUUGAAUAACAAAAUAAUAUUCAGUAAUUGCCUACUACAGUACUCCAACUCGACUUUGC